AGCGAACGCUGGCGGCAGGCCUAACACAUGCAAGUCGAACGGAUCCUUCGGGAUUAGUGGCGGACGGGUGAGUAACACGUGGGAACGUGCCCUUUGGUUCGGAACAACUCAGGGAAACUUGAGCUAAUACCGGAUAAGCCUUUCGAGGGAAAGAUUUAUCGCCAUUGGAGCGGCCCGCGUAGGAUUAGCUAGUUGGUGGGGUAAAGGCCCACCAA
RNAcentral lists this ribosomal RNA (215 nucleotides) under uncultured bacterium. RNAcentral describes it as "partial 16S ribosomal RNA". It matches the Rfam family "Bacterial small subunit ribosomal RNA", at positions 29 to 271 of the family's 1533-position model. The record is from RNAcentral.